CAACUUCAAACCCUCAGCCUCAAAGGAAAGAAAGUUACCCUGAAACAGCGCAUGGCGCAAAGCCUCUGUUUUCCCCUGUUUAUACACCACAAUCGCAUUCACCAACUUCUAAUCCGACAUCUCAAAGGAAAGAAAGUUACCCUGAAUCAACGCAUGGCAAAAAGCCUCUGUUUUCCCACGUUUAUACACCACAAUCACAGUCACCAACUUCUAAUCCGACAUCUCAAAGGAAAGAAAGUUAUCCUGAAACAGCGCAUGGCGCAAAGCCUCUGUUUUCCCCUGUUUAUACACCACAAUCACAUUCACCAACUUCUAAUCCGACAUCUCAAAGGAAAGAAAGUUACUCUGAAACAGCACAUGGCGCAAAGCCUCUGUUUUCCCCUGUUUAUACACAACAAUCACACUUGCCAACUUCAAGUCCAAUGCAUCAAAGAAAAGAAAGUUACCCUGAGACAGCACACGAUGCAAACCCUCAUUUUUCCACUGGUUCUGCACAACAACCACAUUAUCCAACUUCAAAUCCAACACCUCAAAAUAAAGAAAGUUACCCGAAUAAACCACAAGGUGGGAAACCUCUGUUUUCCCCUGCUGAUAAGCAAAAACCACACCCUCCAACAUCACAUUCAACACCUGAAAUGAAACAAAGCUACCCUGAUUAUGAAACACGAGGU
RNAcentral lists this long non-coding RNA (671 nucleotides) under Nicotiana tabacum (common tobacco). RNAcentral's name for it is "long non-coding RNA (NTAB_LNC010148)". Lineage: Eukaryota; Viridiplantae; Streptophyta; Magnoliopsida; Solanales; Solanaceae. The record is from RNAcentral.